RNAcentral lists this ribosomal RNA (873 nucleotides) under Triticum aestivum (bread wheat). RNAcentral's name for it is "partial small subunit ribosomal RNA". The record is from RNAcentral. Lineage: Eukaryota; Viridiplantae; Streptophyta; Magnoliopsida; Poales; Poaceae.
AUGGACCCUGCCCAUGUCCCCUACGCGCACAAGGGGCUGAUGGGCAAGCUUCUCAAGAAGGAAAACCUCGGCAGAUUUGAGUUCGACAUCGAAGGCGGCGGGCCGAUAAAGAUGAAGACGAAGGUGGCGAACGUGGACGGGUUCCUGACGGAGCAGCAGGAGAACCGCGGCUACUUCCGGUACGCCGCGCCGUGCACCUUCUACGGCUCGCCGCUUCCCAGAGAGGUCGCACGGUUCGCCGUGAAGAAGAAGCCCCAGUUCAUGAUGGUGUUCAUGUGCGUCCCAGUGGCGCCGGGGAAGAGCAGGGUGAUCUGGGCCUUCCCGAGGAACGUCGGCCUGUGGCUCGACAAGGUCAUACCGCGGUGGUACUACCACAUGGGCCCGAACGCCCUCUUGGACUCGGACACGUACCUCCUCCACGUCGAGGAGCGCAACUUCGCGGCGGCCGGCGCCGAGAACUGGCACAAAGCCGUGUACGUGCCCACGUCGUCAGACAACAUGGUGAUCGCUUUCAGAAACUGGUUCAGAAAGCACUGCAAGAGCCAGGUCGGCUGGGCCGUCCCCACAGCCGAUCAGCUGCCGGCGACUCCAACCAAAGACAAGCUCAUGGAAAGGUACUGGUCGCACGUCGCGCAGUGCAGGAGCUGCAGCGCGGCGUUGAAGGCCAUGAAGGCGCUGGAGGUCGCCCUGCAGUUCGCGUCGGUUGCGGUCGUCGGCUUCCUCGCCGUCGCCAAGGGGACGCUGGUAACAUCAGUCGUGCAGAGAGCUGUUGUUGUGUCCUUGGCCGUGCUGUGCUUCGCCGCGUCCCGUUGGCUCGCGAGCUUCAUCGAGAAGAACUUCUAUUUCCAUGAUUACGUUCAUGCUUACAAGUGA